This 3331-nucleotide small RNA is filed under the name Pan troglodytes (chimpanzee). RNAcentral describes it as "retained intron". The record is from RNAcentral. Lineage: Eukaryota; Metazoa; Chordata; Mammalia; Primates; Hominidae.
GUGUCCACGGAUGGCACGAAAGCCAAGCGAGUCCCCCUGCCGAGCUACUCGCGUCCGCCUCCUCCCAAGCUGAGCUCUGCUCCGCCCGCCUGAGUCCUUCGCCAGUUAGGAGGAAACACAGCCGCUUAAUGAACGGCUGCAUCGGGCUGGGAGAGAAAGCUCGCGGGUCCCACCGGGCCUCCUACCCAAGUCUCAGCGCGCUUUUCACCGAGGCCUCAAUUCUGGGAUUUGGCAGCUUUGCUGUGAAAGCCCAAUGGACAGAGGACUGCAGAAAAUCAACCUAUCCUCCUUCAGGACCGACGUACAGAGGUCCAGUUCCAUGGUACACCAUAAAUCUUGACUUACCACCCUACAAAAGAUGGCAUGAAUUGAUGCUUGACAAGGCACCGAUGCUAAAGGUUAUAGUGAAUUCUCUGAAGAAUAUGAUAAAUACAUUCGUGCCAAGUGGAAAAAUUGUGCAGGUGGUGGAUGAAAAAUUGCCUGGCCUACUUGGCAACUUUCCUGGCCCUUUUGAAGAGGAAAUGAAGGGUAUUGCCGCUGUUACUGAUAUACCUUUAGGUAAAGUUCACUUAGAAGCUUUAAAAAAAAAAAUAAUUAAAUUCUUUUACAAGUUUCCAUUGAGGUGUGAUAUACAUACAGCAAAGUGCACAGGUCUUAGAUAUACAGCUCAGUGAAGCUUCAGAAAUGCAUGCAUGCAUGUAGCCAUGACUCAGAUCAAGAUACGGAAGAGCCCAGCACUCCACGAUGCUCCAUCAUGCCCCUUUGCAGAAAAUACUGCCUCCUCCAGUAAACACUAUUCUGAUGUCACUAUAGAUUAGUUUUGCCUCUUCGUGAACUUUGUAUAAAUAGAACUGAACAAUAUGAACUGUCCUGUGUGAUUUCUUGUAUUUCAUUAUGGGUGGUGUGCUAUUGUAUCAGCAGGGUAUUUGGGUAGUUUUCAGAUUUGUGAUAUUAACAAUAAAGGAAUUAUAAAUAUUGUAGUACAUUUUGGGGGGGUUCUAGGUACUCAUUUUCUGGAUAUAUACCUAGGAAGUGAACUGUUGUGUUAUAGAGUAAUUGUGUGUUUAGCCUUAUAGAUUCUGCCAAACAGUUUUCCAAAGUGAUUCCAGCAGUUGACAAUCAGCAGAGUAUGAGAGUUUCAGUUUUCUCCUAUGAUAAUUCUCCUCUCGAUAGUGUCAGUCUUUUCUUUUUCCUUUUUUUUUUUGUUAGUGUCAAUCUUUAUUUGAGCCUUUUUGUUGAGUGUCACAGUAUCGCAUUUUAGUUUCAAUUUGCAUUUCCUUGAUGACUAAUGAGAUUGAACAGUUUAUUGACUUUUUUUUUUUGGUUUCUUUGUUUCUUUUGGAGAAGGGCUUGUGAAGGUCUUUUGCCCUUUUAAAAAUUAGACUGAAGGAAUUUUUUACAUACUUUGAAUAUAAGCCCUUUGUCAGAUAUAUGGAUUCUGAAUAUCUGCUCCCAGUCUAUGACUUUCAUUUUUAUUCUCUUACUUUUGUCUUUUGAUGAACAGAAAUUUUUAAUUUUAGUGAAGUCUAAUAUCUCAGUCUUCUCUUUUAUGAGUAGUGCCUUUUGUAUCCAUUUAAGGAAUCUUGGCCUACCCCAAAGUCAUAUAUAUAUGCUUAUAUAUUUUCUUCUAGAUGUUUAAUGUUUACUUUUUACAUUUAGGCCUAUCAUCUAUUUUGAAUUAUUUUUGUAUAUGCUAUGACUUAUGGGUCAAGCUUCAGGUUUUUCUCAUAUGGUAUAUCCAGUUAGUUAAACACUAUCAAUUCAAAAGGCUAUCCUUUCCUCAGCAAAUUGCAGUGAUGUGUUUGAUAUAAAUAUACAAUACAUAUGUAUAUACACACACACACACACAAUGUGUAUCUGUAUAUACAAUCAGGUGAUUGUAUAUAUGUUGUUUUGUUUGGGGAAUUAAGUUUCAUUUACAUAUUUGUCUUUUUGUCUUCCCUUAUAUCAAUACUAUUUCACCUCAGUUACUAAAGCUUUAUAGUAAGUCUUCAAAUUAGGUGGUAUAAUUCUUCCAACUUUGUUUUUCUCAAUAUUUAUUUAAGUUACUGAUUUCUCUGAGCAGUAUCUUUUAUUUUCAGGGAGAAGACCUUGCAUGUCAUUCGUUAAAAUUAUUCUUAGAUAUUGAUGGUUUGGGAAGCUAUUUUUAAAAUUUCAAUUUAAGCUUUAUGGCAUGUAACGAAAAAGAUUUUCCCCAUGACCCCAAAAGUUUUAUCUUUAAGCUAGCAAAGCAGUAGUGUCAUUAUUUUAAAUAGCCAACAGUACCUUCAUUUGAUAAGAGAGAUGAUUGAGAAUUUGUGAAAAUCAGUAGUAUUUAUCAACAAAAGUGGCUAGUUUUGUGUGCUGCUUCUUUAAAAAAAUCAUUUAAAAGAUAGCAUACUGGAAAUAUGUACUUGCUGCCUUUAUGGAGAGCAAGUCUAAUUCCUUUAUUAUGUAAAGAACUCUAGCAACUCAAUACCAAAUAGCUUACCAAAAAUACCUUAUGGAUUAAGAAUAACAUCAUAUAUAAGUGGUGUAAAUUUAUAUAAUUAUUAUAAAUUAUUAUAAAUGUAUAAUAAAAUAACUAGAAUUUCACCAAAUUAGAAAUUUAAUGGAAAUAAAAUAAACAUUGGAUUUGGGUGAAAAAAACAUGUUGAGCUUAACAUGUUAAUGUUAAAUGGGACAGAAAUACAAUGUGCUGCCUACUUUUGAAUUAAAUGCUAAAUAGCAGUAUUAUACAUUUUGGGAAAAUAUUCAAAAAAUAAAAUACCCUAGAAUGGAGUUUCUUGGCAGCUCUGUACUAAUUUUAAUAGUUCUUGAAUCUCCUUUUUCACCUUAGAAAUUUUAGUCACACUUUAAAAAUCUGGGCAAAAUAUAUGUCCAGCAAACAGCCAAGAGCCAGAUGUAUUAAAUGAUCAUAUUUACGCUCCCAAAAGAAAAUUCAAAAUGAAGCAUGUUGAUAAUAAACAUUUUGGACGUGAUGUUGGAGAACAAUUGCAACCUGCCCAGAUGUUCAGCUCGCCCAAAGGCUGCCUCCUUGGUGACUUGUUUCAUCUUGAGUCUAGAGAGACCAGGCUGGGGAAGAAAACCACCUCCAGCCAGCCGUUCCAGCACAGCCCCACUGGCCAAAGCACACACUCACACAAUGAAAACACUGAAACUUUUUCUUAAAACAAAUUUUUCUCCCAUUGUCAUGGUUCUGUAUAUUAACACAAAAUUUUCUUUUCUCAUAGGAGAGAUUAUUUCAUUCAAUAUUUUUUAUGAAUUAUUUACCAUUUGUACUUCAAUAGUAGCAGAAGACAAAAAAGGUAAUUGUAUGCUGAGGGAGGGUGGGCAGCAUGAAGCACUACAU